CGCAAACAGAACAGAUAUCCGGUUUUUAUGGAUCGUAAACCGAGCCCUAAAGGUUCCUCCCCUUCCACAGAUCCAUCUGAGUUUCAGUGCGACUGUUUUUGGUCUGUUUGGAUCUUACAGCCUGGCUGACACUUUUGUCUGUGAUUGGCUGAGACACAUGUUCUCCCAGUUAUAGGCAUCUUUCUUGGUCUGUGAUUGGCUGGAAGGUGCAGCCAGUGGGAGCUCAGGGUUCAGUGCAGUCUGGAGAGACUCCGCCCCCAACUCACCUGGAGAGAGAAGAUCAAAGAGUCAGGAGCAGUUUAUGUCCAUUGGCUGCAAGGAUGCAUCACAGAGCACAGAGGUCAAAGGUCAACAAAGGUUAACAACCUGGACCACAGCGAAGGCUUCACCAGACUGCAUACACCUCCUGCUGAGGAUGAGCAGCAGAGCUCCCAGAGGAUCCAGGUUGGAGUCACCUGUCUUACUGGUCAAUCUGGUUCCCAGCUGCCUCCAGAAGGAACAGGCGUUCUGACUGAGACCCUGUAGAUGCUGGAGGGCGGGGCUUAG
Molecule: long non-coding RNA, 546 nt
Organism: Girardinichthys multiradiatus
Lineage: Eukaryota; Metazoa; Chordata; Actinopteri; Cyprinodontiformes; Goodeidae
Exons: 5
Source: RefSeq, a predicted model, not a curated record